ACUAGGCAUGGUGGUGCAUGCCUGUAAUCCCUGCAACUUAGGAGGCUGAGGCAGGAGGAUCAUAAGUUGAAGGUCAACCUGAGAAAUGUAGUGAGACCCUGUCUCAA
This 107-nucleotide small RNA is filed under the name Marmota monax (woodchuck). The record is from RNAcentral. Lineage: Eukaryota; Metazoa; Chordata; Mammalia; Rodentia; Sciuridae.